UGAUGUUAUACAAAUUAAUGGUGUAAUAGACAAUGUUCUUAGCAGGUUACAACCUCAUCCAAAUUUAAAACAACUCUCCAUCAUAAAGUAUCCUGGUGUAACAUUUCCAAAUUGGCUUGGAGAUCCUUCAUUCUUGAAUCUUGGGUCCUUAAGCUUUGGGGUUGUGGCAAUUGCUCAACAUUGCCGCCACUGGGGCAGCUACCUUGUCUUAGACUUCUAGAGAUCUCAGACAUGAAAGGAGUAGUCAGGGUGGGUGGUCAGUUUUAUAGGAACUCCUCUUCCUCACUUUAGCCCUCCUUCCCAUCCCUGCAAACUAUAUCAUUUUAUAAUGUCCAAUUGGGAGAAAUGGUUAUGUCGUGGAGGCAUACGUGGAGAAUUCCCUCGUCUCCAGGAGCUUUCUAUAAGACAAUGUCCCAAACUCAUUGGGGAAUUACCAAUACACCUUCCUUCAUUGCAGGAACUUAACCUUGAAAUAUGUCCGCAACUGCUUGUGUCUGCACUCAAUGUUCUUGCUGCCCGUAGAUUGCAGUUGAAAAGGCAAACUUGUGGGUUCACAGCUCUUCAAACUUCAGAAAUUGAAGUUUCAGACGUCUCUCAAUGGAAGCAACUUCCAAUGAUACCCCACAAUCUCUCCAUUACAAAGUGUGAUUCUAUGGAGUCUAGAGGAGGAAAUCCUGCAAACCAACAUCCACAGUUUAAAAAUUUGUGACUGCUCUUUUUCAGAUCCCCGAGCAAAGUUGGUUUACCCACUACGUUGCAAUCACUAUCAAUCUCUAACUGUACCAAAGUGGACCUUCUUCUACCUGAGUUGUUCAGAUGCCAUCACCCUGUACUUGAAAAUCUAUCAAUCAAUGGUGGUACCUAUGAUAAUUCUCUCCCAUUAUCCUUCUCAAUAUUGGAUAUCUCCCCCAGGUUGACUAAUUUCGCAAUCCAUGGUCUUAGGGGCUUGAGAAGCUCUGCAUUUCGAUUUCAGAGGGCGACCCCACAUCUCUUCGUAAUUUGGAAAUCAGAGGGUGCCAUAAUCUUGUAUAUAAUAUCCAACUGCCUGCUCUGGACUCAAUGGACCAUGAGAUUUCCAGUUGCUCCAAGCUCAGAUUGCUGGUCCACACACACUCAUCUCUGCGGAAACUGAUUUUAAGGGAUUGCUCAGAAUUGUUGUUUCACAGAGAAGGUUUGCCUUCCAACCUACGUGAACUAGAAAUUUGUCGCUGCAACCGACUCACAUCCCAGGUGGAUUGGGAUUUGCAAAGAUUGACCUCUCUUACUAAAUUAACAAUCAAAGGUGGAUGUGAAGACGUGGAAUUAUUUCCCAAGGAGUGCCUGCUGCCCUCUUCUCUGACUUAUAUUUCAAUCUCAGAUCUUCCAAAUCUCAAGUCUCUUUACAGCAGGGGGCUUCAACGACUCACCUCUCUUCUACAAUUAGAGAUCAGGAAUUGCCCUGAGCUCCAGUUCUCCAUAGGAACCGUUCUUCAACACCUUAUUUCUCUCAAAAUAUUACGAAUCUACUUGUGCCCAAGGCUCCAAUUCUUAACAGAAGCAGGUCUUCACCUUGAAACCUUGUAUAUCGUCAACUGCCCUAAGCUCCAGUACUUGACAAAAGAGAGACUGCCAGACUCCCUCUCUCUUAUCUGUAUGUAUACAAGUGUCCUUCACUAGAACAACGGCACCAAUUUGAGAAAGGGCAAGAAUGGCAUUAUAUAUCUCACAUUCCAAAAAUAGAGAUCAAUGAUGUGCUAUUUUAAUCAAAGUGGCACUGCACCAACAUAUCAGCAGCUUCAAGCCUGGGACGAAUUUUGAAUAGCUGUAGAUGAGGAUUCAACCUAGGUGCUCUCAUUUUGAUGCAGAAAAUUCUCAUAUUCUAACGGCACUCACAUAUUCGUGCCCUGUUUUUUAUUUUGCCAUAUGCAUAACCCAAGUGAACCGCUUAAUGACUGUGGAAAAACAUGGAUGCUUUGGUUCUUCCUCACUUUCUUUGUCAUUUCUCUUAUACAGGCAUGGAGGAAACCAUGGAUGGAUUCUAGUUUGCUGCUCAUUAGUAGGCUUUUAAUCUGCUCAACACUCUUGAAGAACUGUACAUGCACACAAGUCAUUGGCUGGUCCGGUUGUUGAAGAUUUGGGCAGGCAACAAACUCUAUUUGUACAUGUUCCAUGUUAAGUAACCAGGAUGAGCAUAGAAGCCUUCUUCUAAGGAACAAAGUUCGAUUAUGACAAUAAAAAAACAUGUGAGCCUAAGCUUAUCGGGAGUCCUCAUAACAAAAGGCUGUCUAUUUUGUAGUAACCACGUGGACCAACUUCAAAAGGCAAGUAGAAAGACAAAUCUUUGUCAGAUGAUCAUUGAGGUCAUUGGCAUGGACCUUGGAGGUGGCAGUCUUCUUGUGCUUGCUUCUCAUUAGUAGAAUUGUCACCGUCAUGCAUACACUUC
Molecule: RNA transcript, 2422 nt
Organism: Vitis riparia (riverbank grape)
Lineage: Eukaryota; Viridiplantae; Streptophyta; Magnoliopsida; Vitales; Vitaceae
Gene name: putative disease resistance RPP13-like protein 1
Exons: 5
Source: RefSeq, a predicted model, not a curated record